RNAcentral lists this ribosomal RNA (467 nucleotides) under bacterium enrichment culture clone ALO1_GLFRUDD03GZOKR. Its description in RNAcentral is "bacterial SSU rRNA". It matches the Rfam family "Bacterial small subunit ribosomal RNA", at positions 9 to 521 of the family's 1533-position model. The record is from RNAcentral.
GAGUUUGAUCUUGGCUCAGAGCGAACGCUGGCGGCAUGCUUAACACAUGCAAGUCGCACGGUCAGCAAUGGCAGUGGCGGACGGGGUGAGUAACACGUAGGAAUCUAUCUCUGGGUGGGGGACAACAGUGGGAAACUACUGCUAAUACCGCAUGAUACCUGAGGGUCAAAGGCGUAAGUCGCCUGGAGAGGAGCCUGCGUCUGAUUAGCUUGUUGGUGGGGUAAAGGCCUACCAAGGCUACGAUCAGUAGCUGGUCUGAGAGGAUGAUCAGCCACAUUGGGACUGAGACACGGCCCAAACUCCUACGGGAGGCAGCAGUGGGGAAUAUUGGACAAUGGGCGAAAGCCUGAUCCAGCAAUGCCGCGUGUGUGAAGAAGGUCUUCGGAUUGUAAAGCACUUUUGGCAGGGACGAUGAUGACGGUACCUGCAGAAUAAGCCCCGGCUAACUUCGUGCCAGCAGCCGCCGU